RNAcentral lists this long non-coding RNA (364 nucleotides) under Ananas comosus (pineapple). RNAcentral describes it as "long non-coding RNA (ACOM_LNC028997)". Lineage: Eukaryota; Viridiplantae; Streptophyta; Magnoliopsida; Poales; Bromeliaceae. The record is from RNAcentral.
ACGUUUUGAACAGAAGCACAGUCAGAACGGGAGCGAAGACGGUUUGGAUUCCAAAAGUUCAUGGAGGUGCAGUCACUCAAAGCGGAGCGGCGGAUGCGGCAACAUCAAGCGGAGGAGACAAGCUCAAGAUGGAGCUUGCAUGGUAAGCUCGAUAUAGCGAUUGAAGACUGAAAAUCUAACCGCGGUGGAGAAUGUUAGGAUUUGAUUAGAUUUGUAGUUGAAUCCUAAUUGGAUUAGGAUAAUAUUUAAAUCUGUUGGAAAUAAAUUAAGAUUUAAAUAUUAAUUAGAAUAGAAAUCUAAUUGGAUUAGGAUUUGGGUAGCUUUUGAUGUAAGCUAUAAAUAUAGCAUAUGUACUAUUAUUGUG